This 301-nucleotide ribosomal RNA is filed under the name uncultured bacterium. Its description in RNAcentral is "partial 16S ribosomal RNA". It matches the Rfam family "Bacterial small subunit ribosomal RNA", at positions 509 to 807 of the family's 1533-position model. The record is from RNAcentral.
CAGCCGCCGCGGUAAUACGAAGGGUGCAAGCGUUAAUCGGAAUUACUGGGCGUAAAGCGUGCGUAGGCGGUUUGUUAAGUCUGCUGUGAAAUCCCCGGGCUCAACCUGGGAAUGGCAGUGGAUACUGGCAAGCUAGAGUGUGUCAGAGGAUGGUGGAAUUCCCGGUGUAGCGGUGAAAUGCGUAGAGAUCGGGAGGAACAUCAGUGGCGAAGGCGGCCAUCUGGGACAACACUGACGCUGAGGCACAAAAGCGUGGGGAGCAAACAGGAUUAGAUACCCCUGUAGUCCCUGUCUCUUAUAC